Molecule: long non-coding RNA, 177 nt
Organism: Pipistrellus kuhlii (Kuhl's pipistrelle)
Lineage: Eukaryota; Metazoa; Chordata; Mammalia; Chiroptera; Vespertilionidae
Exons: 3
Source: RefSeq, a predicted model, not a curated record
GAAAAGUGCUCAGGAGAUAACUCAUGUCCCAAGGGAAUGAAAUGCUGCAGCAUUGGAUGUGGCCAUGCAUGCCUACCUGCUAUCCAUGUGGUGACUGUUUGAAGAUAAAGAUCUAAAGUGAUGGAGUGACCGAUUAUAAAGAGCUUGUGUCCAAAAUAAAUCUUAUCUGUGGCAUUA